CAGCGCCACGAGUGGCGAUCAUGUUUAUUUGGCCUAAAGCGUCCGUAGCCGGACUAGUAAACCCUUGGGUAAAUUGGGCAGCUUAACUGUCCGAAUUCCGAGGGGACUGCUAGUCUUGGGACCGGGAGAGGUCAGAGGUACUCCAGGGGUAGGGGCUAAAUCCUGUAAUCCUUGGGGGACCACCAGUGGCGAAGGCGUCUGACUAGAACGGAUCCGACGGUAAGGGACGAAACCCUGGGGCGCAAACCGGAUUAGAUACCCGAGUAGUCC
RNAcentral lists this ribosomal RNA (270 nucleotides) under uncultured archaeon. RNAcentral's name for it is "partial 16S ribosomal RNA". It matches the Rfam family "Archaeal small subunit ribosomal RNA", at positions 477 to 747 of the family's 1478-position model. The record is from RNAcentral.